Molecule: non-coding RNA, 22 nt
Filed under: Arabidopsis thaliana (thale cress)
Lineage: Eukaryota; Viridiplantae; Streptophyta; Magnoliopsida; Brassicales; Brassicaceae
Source: RNAcentral
GUACCCAUUCGCGUAUGUGGGC